This 1407-nucleotide long non-coding RNA is filed under the name Homo sapiens (human). RNAcentral's name for it is "HSALNT0051545". The record is from RNAcentral. Lineage: Eukaryota; Metazoa; Chordata; Mammalia; Primates; Hominidae.
CAAGCAGCAAGAUAAAGUCCCUGCCUACAUGAAGCUUACCUUGCAGUGGAGGAGGAAGACAAUAACAUCAUGUCAGAGGUGAUACAUGCUAGAAAAAUACUAAGUGGGCCAAGGGGAGAGUGUGAAGGUGGACACAGUGGUGGUGGCUAUUUUUGAAAGAGGCAUCAGGGUAGGGCUCCCCACUUCGAGUGAACUAAGCAAGCAAGGAACAUGGAUCUGCAGGGUUUGAGAGUUCCAGGAGGAAGGGACAGCCAGCCUGACAUGCAGAGUGAACGAAGGACAGCCAAGGACCAGGGUUAAAGACAAAGUGUUACUGUUCUCCUUUAAACAAGCUAGACUGGACCAGAUUGUCCACCCUGGACUAGCUGGCAUAACAGAUCCUCUUGGCUCUCUGAGGGCGCCUUCUCUCCAUCAGAGGUCGCACAGCACCACCUUGAUUCCAGGAUUCUUGGCACCACCUUGAUUCCAGGAUUAGCAAUCGCCAACUGCGUAAGCCCAACUGCACAUGCAAUCAUAUGACAUGUGAUCCCAUGGCAAAUGUAAUCACCGCUCAACCAAUCCCAGGUGCUGCUACUGCUACUUCAAACUGUAAUAGUGUCUACAAACAAUUUGCACUUUGGAAUGCCACAAUCCCAGGGGGUAAUUAACAAAUCCAGGGAACAAUCUUUUUAAAAGCCUUUAAAAGCAACAGAGACUGAGGCCACCUUCGAUGAAAUAGAAUCACUCCACUUUCUCUGUCAUUUCAGAAGAUACCUGGCUGACUCGUAGAGAGGUUUUGAGAGCACAGGCCCUGGGCUUUAUGGAAAGUUCCUCAAGAUGUGUUAAUUAGAAAUAAAAUGCAGCAUGGUUAUCGGCUGCAGAGCUUUCUGAAUGAAGCAGACUCUGAAGAGGGACUAAGAUUUCAAGAGUUAGAAGCAGAGUUCACAAAGGGCCACCCAAGGACUGUGAAUUCCAAACAUACCAUUCACUAUUCCAAGGUAGAAGACUGCGUUCACCAGCAUGCCUCCUUUCCGGAAGUGGUCGCUCAUGUGCUCUAACCAGUUGGCGUCCAAACCGCUCACUGUCUGGCCAUUCUUGGAGACAUGGAGAGGAAUGGUGACAGGGUAGUAUUGCCGGCACUUCUGAUGGCUCUUCGGUUUGUUGAAAAGGGUGAAGAUCUCCAUUUCUGUUGGGAUUUGUAAAGGGAGUGGAGAGAGAAGAGGUCAACUGAUGAUAAAAAUCUGUUUCAUCGGCUUAAGUGGAAUCUCUCAGGAGCCUGAAUAAAUGAUAUGAUGAAUGCUGAAAUCUCUGUGAGGCUGUAUUGUUGCCAGAUAAUAAAGCCUCAUUCCAAGUAAUAAGUUGAGGCUGGCUUAAAGUAACAUGGACCUGAAGGGUUGGGCUUCUGAUGGGGAACUUAGGUUUUUAAUC